This 406-nucleotide ribosomal RNA is filed under the name uncultured bacterium. RNAcentral's name for it is "partial 16S ribosomal RNA". It matches the Rfam family "Bacterial small subunit ribosomal RNA", at positions 30 to 526 of the family's 1533-position model. The record is from RNAcentral.
AUUGAACGCUGGCGGCAGGCCUAACACAUGCAAGUCGAACGAGUGGCGGACGGGUGAGUAAUGUCUGGGAAACUGCCCGAUGGAGGGGGAUAACUACUGGAAACGGUAGCUAAUACCGCAUACCAUCGGAUGUGCCCAGAUGGGAUUAGCUAGUAGGUGGGGUAACGGCUCACCUAGGCGACGAUCCCUAGCUGGUCUGAGAGGAUGACCAGCCACACUGGAACUGAGACACGGUCCAGACUCCUACGGGAGGCAGCAGGAGGGAAUAUUGCACAAUGGGCGCAAGCCUGAUGCAGCCAUGCCGCGUGAAUGAAGAAGGCCUUCGGUUUGUAAAGUACUUUCGUCGGGGAGGCGUUACUCACAGAAGAAGCCACGGCUAACUACGUGCCAGCAGCCGCGGUAAUAC